RNAcentral lists this ribosomal RNA (482 nucleotides) under uncultured Flammeovirgaceae bacterium. Its description in RNAcentral is "bacterial SSU rRNA". It matches the Rfam family "Bacterial small subunit ribosomal RNA", at positions 28 to 505 of the family's 1533-position model. Lineage: Bacteria; Pseudomonadati; Bacteroidota; Cytophagia; Cytophagales; Flammeovirgaceae. The record is from RNAcentral.
GAUGAACGCUAGCGGCAGGCCUAAUACAUGCAAGUCGAGGGGUAACAUGAGAGCUUGCUCUUGAUGACGACCGGCGCACGGGUGCGUAACGCGUAUGCAACCUACCUGUAACUGAGGGAUAGCCCGUGGAAACAUGGAUUAAUACCUCAUAAUACUUAUUGAUGGCAUCAUCAAUUUUUUAAAGAUUUAUUGGUUACAGAUGGGCAUGCGUUAGAUUAGCUAGUUGGUGAGGUAACGGCUCACCAAGGCUACGAUCUAUAGGGGUUCUGAGAGGAUGAUCCCCCACACUGGCACUGAGAUACGGGCCAGACUCCUACGGGAGGCAGCAGUAGGGAAUAUUGGUCAAUGGGGGCAACCCUGAACCAGCCAUGCCGCGUGAAGGAAGACGGCGUUCUGCGUUGUAAACUUCUUUUAUCUGGGAAGAAAUGUAGUCUUGCGAGAUUAUUUGACGGUACCAGAAGAAUAAGCACCGGCUAACUCCG